AUCCAGCUCACGAGUCCCAAAUAGGACGAAACGCGCGUCCCGGAU
This 45-nucleotide non-coding RNA is filed under the name Schistosoma mansoni. Lineage: Eukaryota; Metazoa; Platyhelminthes; Trematoda; Strigeidida; Schistosomatidae. The record is from RNAcentral.